This 468-nucleotide ribosomal RNA is filed under the name uncultured bacterium. Its description in RNAcentral is "partial 16S ribosomal RNA". It matches the Rfam family "Bacterial small subunit ribosomal RNA", at positions 28 to 507 of the family's 1533-position model. The record is from RNAcentral.
GACGAACGCUGGCGGCGUGCUUAACACAUGCAAGUCGAACGGAAAGGCCUUGCUUUUGUGGGGUGCUCGAGUGGCGAACGGGUGAGUAACACGUGAGUAACCUGCCCUUGACUUUGGGAUAACUUCAGGAAACUGGGGCUAAUACCGGAUAGGAGCUCCUGCUGCUUGGUGGGGGUCGGAAAGUUUCGGCGGUCGGGGAUGGACUCGCGGCUUAUCAGCUUGUUGGUGGGGUAGUGGCUUACCAAGGCUUUGACGGGUAGCCGGCCUGAGAGGGUGACCGGCCACAUUGGGACUGAGAUACGGCCCAGACUCCUACGGUAGGCAGCAGUGGGGAAUAUUGCACAAUGGGCGGAAGCCUGAUGCAGCAACGCCGCGUGCGGGAUGACGGCCUUCGGGUUGUAAACCGCUUUCGCCUGUGACGAAGCGUGAGUGACGGUAAUGGGUAAAGAAGCACCGGCUAACUACGUG